RNAcentral lists this ribosomal RNA (1372 nucleotides) under uncultured bacterium. Its description in RNAcentral is "bacterial SSU rRNA". It matches the Rfam family "Bacterial small subunit ribosomal RNA", at positions 28 to 1381 of the family's 1533-position model. The record is from RNAcentral.
GAUGAACGCUGGCGGCGUGCCUAAUACAUGCAAGUCGAGCGAACAGACAAGGAGCUUGCUCCUUUGACGUUAGCGGCGGACGGGUGAGUAACACGUGGGUAACCUACCUAUAAGACUGGGAUAACUUCGGGAAACCGGAGCUAAUACCGGAUAAUAUUUCGAACCGCAUGGUUCGAUAGUGAAAGAUGGUUUUGCUAUCACUUAUAGAUGGACCCGCGCCGUAUUAGCUAGUUGGUAAGGUAACGGCUUACCAAGGCGACGAUACGUAGCCGACCUGAGAGGGUGAUCGGCCACACUGGAACUGAGACACGGUCCAGACUCCUACGGGAGGCAGCAGUAGGGAAUCUUCCGCAAUGGGCGAAAGCCUGACGGAGCAACGCCGCGUGAGUGAUGAAGGUCUUCGGAUCGUAAAACUCUGUUAUUAGGGAAGAACAUACAUGUAAGUAACUAUGCACGUCUUGACGGUACCUAAUCAGAAAGCCACGGCUAACUACGUGCCAGCAGCCGCGGUAAUACGUAGGUGGCAAGCGUUAUCCGGAAUUAUUGGGCGUAAAGCGCGCGUAGGCGGUUUUUUAAGUCUGAUGUGAAAGCCCACGGCUCAACCGUGGAGGGUCAUUGGAAACUGGAAAACUUGAGUGCAGAAGAGGAAAGUGGAAUUCCAUGUGUAGCGGUGAAAUGCGCAGAGAUAUGGAGGAACACCAGUGGCGAAGGCGACUUUCUGGUCUGUAACUGACGCUGAUGUGCGAAAGCGUGGGGAUCAAACAGGAUUAGAUACCCUGGUAGUCCACGCCGUAAACGAUGAGUGCUAAGUGUUAGGGGGUUUCCGCCCCUUAGUGCUGCAGCUAACGCAUUAAGCACUCCGCCUGGGGAGUACGACCGCAAGGUUGAAACUCAAAGGAAUUGACGGGGACCCGCACAAGCGGUGGAGCAUGUGGUUUAAUUCGAAGCAACGCGAAGAACCUUACCAAAUCUUGACAUCCUCUGACCCCUCUAGAGAUAGAGUUUUCCCCUUCGGGGGACAGAGUGACAGGUGGUGCAUGGUUGUCGUCAGCUCGUGUCGUGAGAUGUUGGGUUAAGUCCCGCAACGAGCGCAACCCUUAAGCUUAGUUGCCAUCAUUAAGUUGGGCACUCUAAGUUGACUGCCGGUGACAAACCGGAGGAAGGUGGGGAUGACGUCAAAUCAUCAUGCCCCUUAUGAUUUGGGCUACACACGUGCUACAAUGGACAAUACAAAGGGCAGCGAAACCGCGAGGUCAAGCAAAUCCCAUAAAGUUGUUCUCAGUUCGGAUUGUAGUCUGCAACUCGACUAUAUGAAGCUGGAAUCGCUAGUAAUCGUAGAUCAGCAUGCUACGGUGAAUACGUUCCCGGGUCU